GUCUGUACUGUGUGUGUGUGUGUGUGUCUGUGUGGUGGUCAGUGUAAUGACUACUGUACUGGUCAGUGUACUGUAGUCUCUAAGACUCACCACAGAGUGAGACUGGUACCUGCCGACAGGGACUGAGAGAUAUCGGUCUCCCUGUGCGAUGGUUCUAUACAAAACACUAACGUUCAGAAGAGACUUUGUGUGUGUGUGAGAGAGAGAGAGGUCAGUGUGUGAGAGAGAGAGUGAGGUCAGUGUGUGAGAGAGAGGGUGAGGUCAGUGUGUGUGUGAGAGAGAGAGAGAGGUCAG
This is a long non-coding RNA of Oncorhynchus tshawytscha (Chinook salmon), 294 nucleotides long. The record is from Ensembl. NCBI's taxonomy places the organism in Eukaryota, Metazoa, Chordata, Actinopteri, Salmoniformes, Salmonidae.